GAGGCCACGAGCUAGUAUCUUGAGGCCACAACUUAGUAUCUUGAGGCCACGAGUUAACUUAUCUUGAGGCCACGAGUUAGUUAUUUUAAUUUUUUUUGACUAAGUGGUUCCAGAAGGGCUCCGUAGGAUUCUGCUUCUCCACAAGUCUCUCAUGAGCAGUCAAAUCGGUCCCGCACUCCAUCCAUGGACUCCAGUGACUCACAGGACACAGUCAUUAUUGAAGAAACUUCCUCAAGUAAACGAAUGAGGCUAGACGAAGAAGCUAAAAAGGUGGGUAUCAAUUUUUUUUUACUUUUAUAUUUUUGGGGAAUAAAGACUGGUAAAACUUAUAAAUGUAUUUUUAAAAAUGAACAUGAAUUUGAUAUUUAUUAUUGAUUUAAGUUGAUCAAUGAGAAUCAAUUUUGAAAACUAAUUUAUAUGUAUGUUUUUAUUAUAAUCUUUAAGUUGGUGGAAACCAUUCUUGUCCAGAAACCUGUUGAGGAGUGUAUAAUAACUGAGUACAACCGAACUAAGUCUUUGGGGGAUGAAACAAGGAGGAAAAUGGUUAACAUCUUGGCAGCUCACAUGACAGAAAAGAAUGGUACGUCACCAACAAGGCAGGUGAAAGAAAAAUAUGCCAGAGGAAUUGUGGCUUUGUUCCCGUACCUCAGUGACCCCUUUUCCAAAAAUGGCUACAUUAGUGUCUGCUUUGAAUUCUAAUUCUGUGUUGAAAUUUUUUCACACUUCGGGACAGGUGGUGUAUUUUGCUGUUGAAUUUAUAUACUUUUUAUCUGUAUUUUUCUCCUUCUAAUGAACAUUACUAUGAUGGCGAAAGCGGUACUGAGUACUUGGCAUGGAGAAUCAAAACUAUACAGAGAGGCUUAGCUAAAGAACGAUGUGCAUCAUUUGAAGCUCAUUUGGCUGAGGACGGCUUGCUGAGGACAACUUUCUCAAUCUCAAUCAGUUUAAUGCUGGAUUUGCACAAAGACUAUUCUUGAAAGAUGGAGCAGUUCCCUCUUUGUCUGGAGAAGGCAUUGUUUAUGGACCACAACCGAUUGAGCAAGACUUUGUUCUGAUGUUUGGAGAAGGAGUGUCAGGAAAGCUACUGGAGAACUGGACCACUGCAUUCAAGAAAAAAGUGAUUCAGCAGUGCAAAAAGCUUCCCAGCACCAGUGAUUUGGAAGAACUUCUACUAUAGCAGCUGAAUCUCCUACUGGUGACUCAGAGGGUGCUAAUUUUGGUAUGAUGUGUAAGAUACAUUUUUCACUUGAAAUAUUAAUUUGAAGUAGUGUUGAACAAAUUUUCCAAGGAACUUGAAGGUGAACGAUUUAGUCCCCAUACUUUUUUUUUUUUAUGUUCUCAAAAUUCCAGUUUGUUUU
Carassius auratus (goldfish) is the source of this 1358-nucleotide long non-coding RNA. RefSeq lists it as uncharacterized. NCBI's taxonomy places the organism in Eukaryota, Metazoa, Chordata, Actinopteri, Cypriniformes, Cyprinidae. The transcript is spliced from 4 exons. The record is from RefSeq and is a predicted model, not a curated record.